AACGCUGGCGGCGUGCCUAAUACAUGCAAGUCGAGCGAACAGACGAGGAGCUUGCUCCUCUGACGUUAGCGGCGGACGGGUGAGUAACACGUGGAUAACCUACCUAUAAGACUGGGAUAACUUCGGGAAACCGGAGCUAAUACCGGAUAAUAUAUUGAACCGCAUGGUUCAAUAGUGAAAGACGGUUUUGCUGUCACUUAUAGAUGGAUCCGCGCCGCAUUAGCUAGUUGGUAAGGUAACGGCUUACCAAGGCAACGAUGCGUAGCCGACCUGAGAGGGUGAUCGGCCACACUGGAACUGAGACACGGUCCAGACUCCUACGGGAGGCAGCAGUAGGGAAUCUUCCGCAAUGGGCGAAAGCCUGACGGAGCAACGCCGCGUGAGUGAUGAAGGUCUUCGGAUCGUAAAACUCUGUUAUUAGGGAAGAACAAAUGUGUAAGUAACUAUGCACGUCUUGACGGUACCUAAUCAGAAAGCCACGGCUAACUACGUGCCAGCAGCCGCGGUAAUACGUAGGUGGCAAGCGUUAUCCGGAAUUAUUGGGCGUAAAGCGCGCGUAGGCGGUUUUUUAAGUCUGAUGUGAAAGCCCACGGCUCAACCGUGGAGGGUCAUUGGAAACUGGAAAACUUGAGUGCAGAAGAGGAAAGUGGAAUUCCAUGUGUAGCGGUGAAAUGCGCAGAGAUAUGGAGGAACACCAGUGGCGAAGGCGACUUUCUGGUCUGUAACUGACGCUGAUGUGCGAAAGCGUGGGGAUCAAACAGGAUUAGAUACCCUGGUAGUCCACGCCGUAAACGAUGAGUGCUAAGUGUUAGGGGGUUUCCGCCCCUUAGUGCUGCAGCUAACGCAUUAAGCACUCCGCCUGGGGAGUACGACCGCAAGGUUGAAACUCAAAGG
This 894-nucleotide ribosomal RNA is filed under the name Staphylococcus epidermidis. Its description in RNAcentral is "bacterial SSU rRNA". It matches the Rfam family "Bacterial small subunit ribosomal RNA", at positions 32 to 907 of the family's 1533-position model. Lineage: Bacteria; Bacillati; Bacillota; Bacilli; Caryophanales; Staphylococcaceae. The record is from RNAcentral.